CGCCCAUGGACCGCCCACCGUUCACGCGUUUUCUCCUUCCUCCACCAGGCCCAAACCCACUCUACACUACAAGCGCCCGCAUUCCCACAAUUCCUGUUGCGAAUCGGUUUUCGCGGGCACGCACCAGACACCCACAUCACGUCCAAACGGAAGGGGAUGAUGGGAUCGCAGAUGCCAGAUGCCUGAUGGAUGGGUAGGCUUAAGUUGCUCGGAAGAUGAGAUGGAGGGCUGCCCGCCCCGAUGGAUAGUGCACCAGAGAUCUCGGGAACUCCACUGGACCCAUGAGUUUAAUGACACCCAUGAGCCCACGGGCGAACCGCUGAAUGGGGCUGAACAACGGUUGAAGUUGCCGAAAGGCUGGUGGGCUGUGGAUUUCCAAGCACUCCAACAACAACCUAGAGAUCAGAUCACUGAAAAGGUGUAUAAAUCUCCACUAUCUGCAAUGACGACUACCAUGGCCAUCAAUGUUUCCACAGAAAUUUGUUCAAAGGCACUGGGAGAACGCAUAAGACAAAAGCCAAAAGAGCCAAAUCUUUUGCGUUUCUUUUUACACAAUUGAAAAGGCGUCCAUCAUUCACCGCAUCAAAUCCCAAGACCCCAGAACCAUGGAACUCGGCCAGAUAGGGGCCAAAGGGGGAAGGGGAACCUGCACCACAUGACCAUGGCGUCUUUUUUAUUCCCUCGCUCUUUGCUCGCUACAAACUCAAAGAGACGACAGAGAAACGAACGGCAAGCAGGCGCUGCCAGAAGGCGAACCUUGACGGCCAGCCAGCCAGCCAGCGAAAGUGGUAGCCUGGUUCACUAGACUCCCAGAUUGGCUAGUAUUAGGCCUUGAGUAGGACCCUGUAUCUUACUAGGGCCUGUUGGCGUUGCUUCGUGUGUUGCUUGGUGCGCUUUUGAAAGGACCCUUGAUCCUGGAUUGACGACAACUCGGCCAGGGAAUUCAAACUGGAAAGAAACGAAGAGAAAGGACUUCCGACCCUGGACUCUGGCCUGACUCCUGGGCUUGCAUAAGUUGCAGUCGGUAGCAGACAAGAUAUGAAGGAAAGUAUGACAUGAACUUUGAUGCUUGCCUGAAUGUGGAAAGAAUGCCUACGGUAAUGCAUUGAUAUCUUUUCUCAUGUCAAAGAAUCGCUCAAGGCAGGACAAGUUUGAACAUGGACAUGGAGCAUGGGUCAGCCAUGUGAAAUGAAUCGUUCGAACUGUUCGAGGUAUUCUGUCUUGGCGGCGAGGGGGGGUCUUCGAAUUCCGCGAAAUCACCCAAAUCCCCAAUUUACCCACGACAUCACCCUAUGGUCAACGACAAUGAGUGUUCUGGGGUUUCAGGAGAAGAUGAGUGUGACAAGCAUGUGACUGACACGACUUGACGCGCCGGCAAUUCAGGGUGUGAGAACCCGGGCCAGAAAUUGCUUUGGUCAACUGAAUGAUUGACUGGGCAGUCAUGCUUGUUGGUGCCCGUUGAUGCUGCUGGGCUGGUCAAAAUCAUACCCAGAUGGUAUUUUGUGAUCAGAUUACGGGAGUGAGAUAAGGUUUUUACGCUAUAGGCUACGACGUUGCUACGUUACACGGUAACGGCGCUUGAGGGGAAAAAAAGAAAAAAAAAAAGGAAAAAGAAAAA
Molecule: non-coding RNA, 1618 nt
Organism: Neurospora crassa OR74A
Lineage: Eukaryota; Fungi; Ascomycota; Sordariomycetes; Sordariales; Sordariaceae
Source: RefSeq, a predicted model, not a curated record